This 523-nucleotide ribosomal RNA is filed under the name Boophis tephraeomystax. RNAcentral describes it as "partial 12S ribosomal RNA". The stretch from base 1 to 447 matches the Rfam family "Bacterial small subunit ribosomal RNA", at positions 893 to 1533 of the family's 1533-position model. Lineage: Eukaryota; Metazoa; Chordata; Amphibia; Anura; Mantellidae. The record is from RNAcentral.
CUUAAAAUCCAAAGGACUUGACGGUGUUCCACCCAUCUAGAGGAGCCUGUUCUUUAAUCGAUACUCCCCGCUUUACCUCACCAUUUCUUGCUUUUUCAGCCUGUAUACCUCCGUCGCAAACUUGCCCUAUGAAUGAUUCACAGCAAGUCUAAUGGCCCCCACCAAUACGUCAGGUCAAGGUGCAGCCCAUGAAAUGGGAAGCAAUGGGCUACAAUUUCUAACUUAGAACACACGAAUUAUCACUUGAAACUGUGAUCAUGAAGGUGGAUUUAGCAGUAAAGAGAAACUAUAGCGUUCUCUUUAAUUAGGCCCUGGAACGUGUACAAACCGCCCGUCACCCUCUUCGAUAGCGUAUUAAACAUCUUCAUAAACCCUUACAAGCACCUUAGAAGAGGUAAGUCGUAACAUGGUAAGUGUACUGGAAAGUGUACUUGGAAUAACAAAAUGUAGCUUAACAAAAGCCCCUCGCUUACACCGAGACGAUAUCUGUUAAACCCAGAUCGUUUUGAGCUAUAAAUCUAGC